RNAcentral lists this ribosomal RNA (425 nucleotides) under uncultured bacterium. Its description in RNAcentral is "partial 16S ribosomal RNA". It matches the Rfam family "Bacterial small subunit ribosomal RNA", at positions 354 to 796 of the family's 1533-position model. The record is from RNAcentral.
GUGGGGAAUCUUGCGCAAUGGGCGAAAGCCUGACGCAGCCAUGCCGCGUGAAUGAUGAAGGUCUUAGGAUUGUAAAAUUCUUUCACCGGGGACGAUAAUGACGGUACCCGGAGAAGAAGCCCCGGCUAACUUCGUGCCAGCAGCCGCGGUAAUACGAAGGGGGCUAGCGUUGCUCGGAAUUACUGGGCGUAAAGGGCGCGUAGGCGGACAGUUUAGUCAGAGGUGAAAGCCCAGGGCUCAACCUUGGAAUUGCCUUUGAUACUGGCUGUCUGGAGUACGGGAGAGGUGAGUGGAACUCCGAGUGUAGAGGUGAAAUUCGUAGAUAUUCGGAAGAACACCAGUGGCGAAGGCGACUCACUGGCCCGUUACUGACGCUGAGGCGCGAAAGCGUGGGGAGCAAACAGGAUUAGAAACCCCGGUAGUCC